GACGAACACUGGCGGCGUGCUUAACACAUGCAAGUCGAACGGAAAGGCCCUGCUUUUGUGGGGUGCUCGAGUGGCGAACGGGUGAGUAACACGUGAGUAACCUGCCCUUGACUUUGGGAUAACUUCAGGAAACUGGGGCUAAUACCGGAUAGGAGCUCCUGCUGCAUGGUGGGGGUUGGAAAGUUUCGGCGGUUGGGAUGGACUCGCGGCUUAUCAGCUUGUUGGUGGGGUAGUGGCUUACCAAGGCAUUGCCGGGUAGCCGGCCUGGGAGGGUGGACGGGGACAUUGGGACUGCGGGAGGGAGCAGACGGGUACGGGAGGCAGCAGGGGGGAAUAUGACACAGUGGGCGGGAGCGUGAUGAAGCGACGCCGGGUGCGGGAUGACGGCUUUUGGGGUAUGAACCGCUUUCGCCUGUGACGAAGCGUGAGUGACGGUAAUGGAUAAAGAAGCACCGGCUAACUACGUG
RNAcentral lists this ribosomal RNA (467 nucleotides) under uncultured bacterium. Its description in RNAcentral is "partial 16S ribosomal RNA". It matches the Rfam family "Bacterial small subunit ribosomal RNA", at positions 28 to 507 of the family's 1533-position model. The record is from RNAcentral.